This 367-nucleotide ribosomal RNA is filed under the name uncultured bacterium. RNAcentral's name for it is "bacterial SSU rRNA". It matches the Rfam family "Bacterial small subunit ribosomal RNA", at positions 525 to 896 of the family's 1533-position model. The record is from RNAcentral.
ACGGAGGAUCCAAGCGUUAUCCGGAAUCAUUGGGUUUAAAGGGUCCGUAGGCGGGCCUAUAAGUCAGGGGUGAAAGUUUGCCGCUCAACGGUAAAAUUGCCUUUGAUACUGUAGGCCUUGAAUCAUGGUGAAGUGGCUGGAAUGUGUAGUGUAGCGGUGAAGUGCAUAGAUAUUACACAGAACACCCAUUGCGAAGGCAGGUCACUAACCAUGUAUUGACGCUCAGGGACGAAAGCGUGGGGAGCGAACAGGAUUAGAUACCCUGGUAGUCCACGCCGUAAACGAUGGAUACUAGCUGUUGGGAGCAAUCUCAGUGGCUAAGCGAAAGUGAUAAGUAUCCCACCUGGGGAGUACGUUCGCAAGAAUG